GGAUCCGGGAGAAGCCGGAUAAGACGAUGGUGAAUGUUUAGGGCUUCAAAAAUAUGAUUUCUUGGAAUCAAACCAUCGAUUUAAGAUCCGGAUCUGGCGGCUUAGAGUCACCCCUUUUGUGUUUGUAUUUGGGUCGCUCCCUUUACAAUUAGAUGGGUGCUCCCAUUUGGUGUUUAUGGAGUAUCGUGCACUUAUCAUGCCACAUACGCGGUUAAUAAGCAUAGUGUCUACACGACACAACGUGCACAUGGUGAUUAUGCUGAAAUUAGCCUAACGGAUAAGUGGAUAGCUGGGUAGUGCUCCUUCACUGAUUCAGGUUCUUGUGGAUCAAGAUAAAAGGGUAUUAUUGGCGGUGUAAUUAUUGAUAGGUAAUGCUAUUGGUUGAUGCAGCGUUUUUUACUACCAUUUUGCUUGGGGACCAAAGAUUAGUUGAAAAUGGUAUUCAAUAGAGUUAAUAUCAGUACAUUUGGUGUAUAAUUAUAAUUAGUAGUUAAUGUACCCGGUGCAAUGCAAGCUUUUGGUUUUGGGAGUUGUUUAGUGUAUGUGUAAAUAUGAUUCACAUGUUAUAAAAUAGGCAAAUGAUGAGUUUAUGAAUAAGUCAUGCCGAAUUUUUGUUA
Cynara cardunculus var. scolymus (artichoke) is the source of this 617-nucleotide long non-coding RNA. RefSeq lists it as uncharacterized. The transcript has 3 exons. NCBI's taxonomy places the organism in Eukaryota, Viridiplantae, Streptophyta, Magnoliopsida, Asterales, Asteraceae. The record is from RefSeq and is a predicted model, not a curated record.